This 147-nucleotide unclassified non-coding RNA is filed under the name soil metagenome. Its description in RNAcentral is "partial internal transcribed spacer 1". The record is from RNAcentral.
CCGAGUUUACAACUCCCAAACCCCUGUGAACAUACCUAUAUGUUGCCUCGGCGGAUCAGCCCACGCCCCGUAAAACGGGACGGCCCGCCGCAGGAUCCACAAACUCUGUUUUUAUUGUAACUUCUGAGUAACAAAACAAAUAAAUCA